Molecule: ribosomal RNA, 477 nt
Filed under: uncultured organism
Description: partial 16S ribosomal RNA
Rfam family: Bacterial small subunit ribosomal RNA
Source: RNAcentral
UACACUCCUACGGGAGGCAGCAGUGGGGAAUUUUGGACAAUGGGCGAAAGCCUGAUCCAGCAAUGCCGCGUGUGUGAAGAAGGCCUUCGGGUUGUAAAGCACUUUUGUCCGGAAAGAAAUCCUUGGCUCUAAUACAGUCGGGGGAUGACGGUACCGGAAGAAUAAGCACCGGCUAACUACGUGCCAGCAGCCGCGGUAAUACGUAGGGUGCGAGCGUUAAUCGGAAUUACUGGGCGUAAAGCGUGCGCAGGCGGUUUGCUAAGACCGAUGUGAAAUCCCCGGGCUCAACCUGGGAACUGCAUUGGUGACUGGCAGGCUAGAGUAUGGCAGAGGGGGGUAGAAUUCCACGUGUAGCAGUGAAAUGCGUAGAGAUGUGGAGGAAUACCGAUGGCGAAGGCAGCCCCCUGGGCCAAUACUGACGCUCAUGCACGAAAGCGUGGGGAGCAAACAGGAUUAGAAACCCUAGUAGUCCCAUGA